ACCCUUUGGAAGAGAUGUAUUUAUUAGAUAAAAAAUCAAUGUCUUCGGACUCUUUGAUGAUUCAUAAUAACUUUUCGAAUCGCAUGGCCUUGUGCUGGCGAUGGUUCAUUCAAAUUUCUGCCCUAUCAACUUUCGAUGGUAGGAUAGUGGCCUACCAUGGUUUCAACGGGUAACGGGAAUAAGGGUUCGAUUCCGGAGAGGAGCCUGAGAAACGGCUACCACAUCCAAGGAAGGCAGCAGGCGCGCAAAUUACCCAAUCCUAAUUCAGGGAGGUAGUGACAAUAAAUAACGAUACAGGGCCCAUUCGGGUCUUGUAAUUGGAAUAAUUACAAUGUAAAUACCUUAACGAGGAACAAUUGGAGGGCAAGUCUGGUGCCAGCAGCCGCGGUAAUUCCAGCUCAAUAGCGUAUAUUAAAGUUGUUGCAGUUAAAAAGCUCGUAGUUGAACUUUGGGCCCGGUUGGCCGGUCCGAUUUUUCGUGUACUGGAUUUCCAACGGGGCCUUUCCUUCUGGCUAACCUUGAGUCCUUGUGGCUCUUGGCGAACCAGGACUUUACUUUGAAAAAAUUAGAGUGUUCAAAGCAGGCGUAUUGCUCGAAUAUAUUAGCAUGGAAUAAUAGAAUAGGACGUUUGGUUCUAUUUUUUGUUGGUUUCUAGGACCAUCGUAAUGAUUAAUAAGGGACGGUCGGGGGCAUCAGUAUUCAAUUGUCAGAGGUGAAAUUCUUGGAUUUAUUGAAGACUAACUACUGCGAAAGCAUUUGCCAAGGACGUUUUCAUUAAUCAAGAACGAAAGUUAGGGGAUCGAAGAUGAUCAGAUACCGUCGUAGUCUUAACCAUAAACUAUGCCGACUAGGGAUCGGGUGGUGUUUUUAAUGACCCACUCGGCACCUUACGAGAAAUCAAAGUCUUUGGGUUCUGGGGAGUAUGGUCGCAAGGCUGAAACUUAAAGGAAUUGACGGAAGGGCACCACCAGGAGUGGAGCCUGCGGCAAUUUGACUCAACACGGGAAACUCACCAGGUCCAGACACAAUAAGGAUUGACAGAUUGAGAGCUCUUUCUUGAUUUUGUGGGUGGUGGUGCAUGGCCGUUCUUAGUUGGUGGAGUGAUUUGUCUGCUUAAUUGCGAUAACGAACGAGACCUUAACCUACUAAAUAGUGGUGCUAGCAUUUGCUGGUUAUCCACUUCUUAGAGGACUAUCGGUUUCAAGCCGAUGGAAGUUUGACGGAGGCCAGCAAGUCUAACCUUGGCCGAGAAGGUCUUGGUAAUCUUUGAAACUCCGUCGUGCUGGGGAUAGAGCAUUGUAAUUAUUGCUCUUCAACGAGGAAUUCUAGUAAGCGCAAGUCAUCAGCUUGCGUUGAUUACGUCCCUGCCCUUUGUACACACCGCCCGUCGCUAGUACCGAUUGAAUGGCUUAGUGAGGCCUCAGGAUCUGCUUAGAGAGGGGCAACUCCAUCUCCAGAGCGGAGGAAUUUGGACAAACUUGGUCAUUUAGAGGAACUAAAAGUCGUAACAAAGGUUUCCGUAAGGUGAACCUGCGGAAG
RNAcentral lists this ribosomal RNA (1539 nucleotides) under Saccharomyces cerevisiae (brewer's yeast). RNAcentral describes it as "SSU rRNA". It matches the Rfam family "Eukaryotic small subunit ribosomal RNA", at positions 186 to 1823 of the family's 1831-position model. The record is from RNAcentral. Lineage: Eukaryota; Fungi; Ascomycota; Saccharomycetes; Saccharomycetales; Saccharomycetaceae.